RNAcentral lists this long non-coding RNA (479 nucleotides) under Mytilus galloprovincialis (Mediterranean mussel). The record is from RNAcentral. Lineage: Eukaryota; Metazoa; Mollusca; Bivalvia; Mytilida; Mytilidae.
GUGCUCCGCAGGGCGCAGCUUUAUACGACCGCAGAGGUCGAACCCUGAACAGUUGGGGCAAGUAUGGACAAAACAUUCAAGCGUGAUACAGCUCUGAACUUGGAUUGUUAUCAAAUUUUUGACAUUACAUGUUUUUUUUUACACAAAACAAAUGUCAAGAUUUUACAAAUCAAUUAAAGAUUUCUUCUUCAAACUUAUUUAAAUCUAAAAUUAAAUAGUUGACACAGCAUAGGUUUCUGACACAGAAUGAAUGUGGUCUAAUGAACUUAAAAGUUUUUUUUUUGCCUUUGAGCAAUUCACUAUGCUGUUGAAUAUUAAUCCUCUCAAAAAAAUGUUUGAAGAAAUUUUCUUUUUAUUUAUGAAAUCUGAAAUGAGAAAAAUUUAACCCCCCCCCCCCAUUUUUUUUUCACAUCCCCGUUUCCCUUUUUCCAAAACUGAUAUCAAUUCAAAUUUCUAAUGGAGUUUGCAACAAUAACUAA